Long non-coding RNA from Ictalurus punctatus (channel catfish), 3401 nucleotides. NCBI's taxonomy places the organism in Eukaryota, Metazoa, Chordata, Actinopteri, Siluriformes, Ictaluridae. The record is from Ensembl.
CCUAUGAUUGUUGUGGUGUGAGGGGUCCUUGCGGAUUGUUCGAUAUAUGCUAGGGGUCCAGAGCGCACAAAAGAUUGAGAACCACUGCAUUACAGCACUGAUAGACGUCCAACCCGAUAAGAUAAAUUACUGAAAUCUUAUGCUGAAGAAGACAUAGGCAAAGAAUUAUUCACUUACCGAUCGAUUCAGUCUAAACCUGUGACACAUUUGUGACGUACAAAUACGUCCUACAGAGCAGCAUUUUACAAAACCUUCAAAAUGAAAACAACGCAUCACUAAAAUUCAAACGCCAACUCAUGCCAAUACAAAUGCUUUAUUAUAGUUUUCCAUUCGCAGGUUGUUUGAUCGUUAACAUUGAUUUCUUUUCUCUUUUUUUAAAAUUUUUUAUAACAAAAACAAAAAGUUUAGCCUGCGUGUGGUGACAGGUGAGCAACCGUCUAUCAAAUCAGUACAAAAACCAACGCUGCUAAAACGAUCACUUGUGAUAAUAAGUGAACGCGUGUUCAGUUUGGCAUUUACAUAGCAUAAUUCCCUGUAUUAAGUGCGACUAUGUGCUGAGUUAUUAGUGCAAACACGGGACUUCAUUUGCGCAAAUAUCUAAUGUGCUGAUGAGACAUUAUUUCUAAGAGCCUAGAAUAAGUUCAGUUAAAUGACAGCACUUUUGUUUUCAUCUUAAUGUAUGAAGAUUCAGCUAUAAUUACAAAAUUCUUUGCUGUAUAGAUCAGCUCAAACACACACACACACACACACACACACACAUUAAUGCAUGAGCUUUAGAGAAUUACAGUAGGCUUUUUCUCUCCUAUCACUACGUCUUUACAACAACAAAGAGGCGACAAUGUUCAUGAAAAUGUCUCAUACAUACCUCAUACAUUUUUUUUUUUUUUUUAAAUCAUAAAACUGUAUAAACAAAAACAAAAGCAAGCAUCAUUUGCUCUUUAGCUAGGAUGUGUGCGUCUGUUUGUGUGUGUGUGUGUGUGUGGGGGGGGGGGGGGUAUGUAAAUACAAACUGUUUGUACAGUUUACAGCAAUGCUACAACGCAACUUAGCGAAGGAAGUAUACCGUAUAUUUAUAUACCAAAAAAAGAGAAAAAAGUGCCUAGUAAAAAUCAAACGUUAUUAAAAGACACAAACAGAAAACAGACUAAAUCACAUGCGAUUUGUGCAAUAGUGUGCGUUUUUGUGUACACUGAACGGUCAUCCGCAAUACUGUCAUUCACGUAACGUUUUUAACAACUAAAUAAAUACAAGUUGGAAAAACCCAGACGCUACACGGUGAUAUAAAAACAGAGGUGAUACAUUCAUGGCAUUUACAGCGAGAGCACGUUAUUCGAGUUGAACAUUUGAUUGUAUAGCGUAAUCGUCUUACCAAAAGGGACACGCCUGUUUUUAGAAGGCGUACACGUGUCCACGAAUGAGUCGAUUAUAUCUACUAUCUUGUCUUUAGUCACAUUAGCCUCACUAGAUGGCUAAAACAAGCUAGAAUACAACGUUCCUUUAUGCGAGUUUUUAUUUACUUACUUUACUUUGCUAUAUUUUACUAUAAAAUAAGCUCGGGUUUUAGCCUGUUGAUUACAGCACUGGUUUAUGGGUUAGCAUAUUUACUCAAACGCUAGUUUUGCAGUAUGUUCACAGUGUCGUAGUGACAACAAUUACAACUGCAAAGAUGCAGUUCAGUACAGAUGAGCAAUACCACCGACUAUCUUCCGCGAGCUAACAGUAAUAUCUGGAAAGCGAGACGUACUUCUGGUCGAAUAAAUAAAUAAAUAUAAAUAAAAGGUGUGAGGAUUUAUGUCCGUGAGAAACACGGACAUUACAAAUUACAGUGAAUUUUCUGUAUAUGUGCAUAAAUAUGACCUAAAACAUCAUCGGAUUUUCACACAAGUCGAUAAAGGCAACCCAAUUGGUUAUUUGUUUGACGGACCUUAAUCCAAUAGAAAUGUUGUGGAACGACCUGAAGCAAGUAGCCCACCAGUAUCCCAGAGUUGAAGCUGUUCUGUACUGAGGAACGGGAUAAAAUUCCUCCAAGUCGAUGUGCAGGACUGAUCAACAGAUACCGGAAACCUUUAGCAGCAGUUAUUGCUACACAAGGGGGUCACACCAGAUACUGAAAGCAAAGCUUCACAUACUUUUGCCACUCACAGAUUUCUAAUAUUGGAUCAUUUUCCUCAAUAAAUAAAUGAACAAGUAUAAUUUUUUCGUCUCAUUUGUUUAAUCGGGUUCUCUUUAUCUACUUUUAGGACUUGUGUGUGAAAAUCCGAUGAUGAUUUGGGUCAUAUUUAUGCAGCAAUGUUGAAAAUUCUAAAGGGUUCACAAUCUUUGCUUAUUAGCUGUAAUAAGAAUGCUGUAAGUGUGUAAGUUAAAUAAUCUCAUGUACUAUUACACACCUACACUAUAUUGUCUCUGUCCCAAAUACUAGAUUUCAUGUCUGAUUAAUAUUCUUUCUACAGCAACCAUUUAGGCUUUACUUAGAAGGAUUAGAUAAUAAUAAUAAUAGUAAUAAUUUUUAUGAACUACGCAGGAAGAGACCGAGGCAUGUCUUGGGGUUCAUUUCAACAUCUUUUACACUUAUGUAUGAAAAUAAUCUCGUUUUCUUAUUGAUACAGCGAUUUGUGCAAAUGUGUAGUCACGUGCCGAUCAUCAGUCAGACGAUAUAAUGUCUGACACAAUAUGGAAAUCCUAAAAGCAUCACAAUAUCAUCACUUCUCCUAGGCUGAUAUCGAGAGGUCGAGACACCAUACUUUUGGAUAAAUUCCAAGGAAUAUUAAAGGAGCGCGUAUCCUACGAUUCUGUACGUUUGGCAGACUGAGGAAGAACACGCACAGAAAUAUUUCUUAGCUACUUCGAUUAGCACCGUGUAAAAGUAUACUAGUUGCUGUUGAGUCUCCUGUUGAAUGUAGCUUCAGAAACAUGACACACAUCAACUAGCACAAAAAGAAAGAAAGAAAAAUCUCACAGAUGAACACCCCGUCGAAAACCAAGGCAACUAGAAGUAAAGUCGUAUCGGGAACUGGCGAUUUAGGCAACUUCUUUGUGUUUGUCAGCUGGUGGAAAGCAUACCCCCGUUUGCGUUUAGCAGACUAGUUUAGCUGACUAGACAAGCAGUGCAUGUAAGACACAAGGCUGUUUGCACUUCACUACAAGAGCUAACUGCAAUGCUACUCAAUGGCACAGGUGCAGCCGAACAUACAGAAAUGUUACGCAAUACUGUAGACAAUGUUCGAAUAUUAGGCAAUUUAAAAAAAAAAAUCAUAUCGGCACAAAUCUAUUGCUCUGAUAGUGAGCGCUUGGUACUUUGCUUGUGCUUAUUUUCUCUUUCAUCUUUAAUUCUAUCACUUUUAUUCUAUGAAAAGUUUUAUAUAUACACACACACACACACACACACAUAUAUAUAUAUAUAU